UACGUAGGGUGCGAGCGUUAAUCGGAAUUACUGGGCGUAAAGGGUGCGCAGGCGGCGUCGCAAGUCAGGCGUGAAAUCCCCGGGCUUAACCUGGGAACUGCACUUGAAACUACGAUGCUGGAGUAUGGCAGAGGGAGGUGGAAUUCCACGUGUAGCGGUGAAAUGCGUAGAGAUGUGGAGGAACACCGAUGGCGAAGGCAGCCCCCUGGGCUGAGAUUGACGCUGAGUGCACGAAAGCUAGGGGAGCGAACAGG
RNAcentral lists this ribosomal RNA (254 nucleotides) under uncultured bacterium. Its description in RNAcentral is "partial 16S ribosomal RNA". It matches the Rfam family "Bacterial small subunit ribosomal RNA", at positions 524 to 776 of the family's 1533-position model. The record is from RNAcentral.